Molecule: ribosomal RNA, 255 nt
Filed under: Clostridioides difficile
Lineage: Bacteria; Bacillati; Bacillota; Clostridia; Peptostreptococcales; Peptostreptococcaceae
Description: partial 23S ribosomal RNA
Rfam family: Bacterial large subunit ribosomal RNA
Source: RNAcentral
AGGUUUGGCACCUCGAUGUCGGCUCAUCCCAUCCUGGGGCUGUAGUAGGUCCCAAGGGUUGGGCUGUUCGCCCAUUAAAGGGGUAAGCGAGUGGGGUUCAGAACGUCGGGAGACGGUUCGGUUGCUAGCCGUGGCAGGCGUAGGAAAUUGGAGAAGACCUGUCCUGAGUACGAGAGGACCGGGAGGGACGUACGUCUGGUGUACCAGUUGUUCGGCCAAGGGAAUGGCUGGGUAGCUGUGUACGGAAUGGAUAAG